This 404-nucleotide unclassified non-coding RNA is filed under the name soil metagenome. RNAcentral's name for it is "partial contains 5.8S ribosomal RNA, internal transcribed spacer 2, and large subunit ribosomal RNA". The stretch from base 1 to 122 matches the Rfam family "5.8S ribosomal RNA", at positions 35 to 154 of the family's 154-position model. The record is from RNAcentral.
GAUGAAGAACGUAGCAAAAUGCGAUACUUGGUGUGAAUUGCAGAAUCCCGUGAACCAUCGAGUUUUUGAACGCAAGUUGCGCCCGAAGCCUUUUGGCCGAGGGCACGUCUGCCUGGGCGUCACGCAUCGCGUCGCCCCCCACAAUUCUCCGUAAAGGGAACAUGUGUUUUAGGGGCGGAUAUUGGUCUCCCGUGCUCAUGGCGUGGUUGGCCGAAAUAGGAGUCCUUUCGAUGGACGCACGAACUAGUGGUGGUCGUAAAAACCCUCGUCUUUUGUUUCGUGCUGUUGCUAGCAAGGUAAACUCUUUAAAAACCCCAAUGUGUCGUCUCUUGACGACGCUUCGACCGCGACCCCAGGUCAGGCGGGACUACCCGCUGAGUUUAAGCAUAUCAAUAAGCGGAGGA